Molecule: ribosomal RNA, 492 nt
Filed under: uncultured bacterium
Lineage: Bacteria
Description: partial 16S ribosomal RNA
Rfam family: Bacterial small subunit ribosomal RNA
Source: RNAcentral
AGUGAACGCUGGCGGUAGGCCUAACACAUGCAAGUCGAACGGCAGCACAGUAAGAGCUUGCUCUUACGGGUGACGAGUGGCGGACGGGUGAGGAAUACAUCGGAAUCUACUUUUUCGUGGGGGGUAACGUAGGGAAACUUACGCUAAUACCGCAUACGACCUACGGGUGAAAGCAGAAGCUCUUCGGACCUUGCGCGAUUGAAUGAGCCGAUGUCGGAUUAGCUAGUUGGCGGGGUAAAGGCCCACUAAGGCGACGAUCCGUAGCUGGUCUGAGAGGAUGAACAGCCACACUGGAACUGAGACACGGUCCAGACUCCUACGGGAGGCAGCAGUGGGGAAUAUUGGACGAAGGGCGCAAGCCUGAUCCAGCCAUACCGCGUUGGUGAAGAAGGCCUGCGGGUUGUAUAGCCCUUUUGUUGGGAAAGAAAAGCAGCAGGUGAAUAGCCCGCUGUGCUGACGGUACCCAAAGAAUAAGCACCGGCUAACUUCGUG